Molecule: long non-coding RNA, 3765 nt
Organism: Lepus europaeus (European hare)
Lineage: Eukaryota; Metazoa; Chordata; Mammalia; Lagomorpha; Leporidae
Exons: 3
Source: RefSeq, a predicted model, not a curated record
CAGGAAGGAGCUACUGGUUUAGAGCUGGGCGAAGGAGAGUUGCUAGAAGUUGGCCAGAGUUUUCCCGCAGUGACAACGUCGGUGGCCUCCGAUACGUGCGUGCUUUCCGAAGAGGCUGAAGUUGAAACGGUAGAAUUACAGUGAGAGAGACAGAGAGAAAGGUCUUCCUUCCGUUGGUUCACUCCCUCAAAUGGCCACAGUGGACAGAGCUGCGUCGAUCUGAAGCCAGGAACCAGGAGCUUCUUCCCGAUCUCCCACAUGGGUGUAGGGGCCCAAGCACCUGGGUCAUUCUCCACUGCUUUCCCAGGCCACAGCAGGGAGCUGGACUGGAGGAGGAGCAAAACCCGGCGCUGAUGUGGGAUGCCGGCGCUGCAGGUGGAGGAUUAACAUAGUGCUCCAUGGCGCAGGCCCCAAGGUGUUGUAUUCUUUUGGGGGCUCAUGUUGCCUUCCUUAUUCUUGUUUUUGAAUUGCUGUAUUUAUUUGUUUAUUAUUAGGCAUUAGUGGUGAUACUUAUUUUUUAUUUUUGUUUUGUUUCCUUUUCCCUGUGAGCUGUUUUAUCUUUGAACUAUGCCUCUACGGCUUAGUGAAGUGUCUGCUCUUUCAGGGAAUACAAAGAGGUGUGUGCUGGGUUGGUGUGGGCAGGGAGCUCUUGCUGUGCUCCAGGAUUAGGGCAGUGUCCAAGGUGACACCCAAGCUGGAUGUGGUAAAUCUUUUUUUUUUUUUCAAUCAGAGGGGAGGUUUGUUCUGCUCUGUUGGCAUAGUCUCACACUCUCCUCCUCUCCGCAAAGGAGACCGAUGCCUGGGUGCUAGCCUCAGUGAGUACAGAUUUCAUCUAUGCUGCCACAGGAACCACAGAAAGGAACCAUGCAGUCCUCAGCGUUAACACGGAUUCUGCAGCAGUGACCCCCACCAGGGAAUCAGGGAGCCCCCAGCAGCUGGAGCCGCCCACAGUGACUGCCCAAAUUCCUAGGCACACCCUGCUCCCUCCCCUGCAGCCACAGUGUUUUCACAGUCCCAGCACACAAGGCUCCCUUAGUCAGGAGCUUCUAGCCCCCUGUCAAUUCUGCCAGCCAGACUUAAGCUCUCCUCUCGGCUGGUUGCUGGGCGUGUGGACACGAGCUGGCACAGGUGUUAUUUAUGUCCAAAAUGGCUCCCACCGUCUGGCAGCUAGUUACAGGAUGCUGGUGCUGGGUGGUCAGGGAGAGAGAAACGUGCCUCCCUUUUUUUCCCUUUAGGUUGGCGGACGCACUGUCUCCCACAGGGCUCCAAGCUGUCUCCUCACAAGGCUCUUUCUGAAUCCUACUGCCAGUGGCUUGGGCUGAUGCAGCCUGGUCUCACCUCACUCCAGAUUUGGUGCUGAGGCUCUCGACUGCUGGGGUCCUGAGCUGUGCGCAACCACACCCUCCACAUAGAUCCACUGUGUCCCUCUAAUUUACAUGGUGUUUCCUCUGUCAUUUUCUCCCUAACUCUUCCCUGAGAUUUCAUUCUCCUUUUUAUAAGUAAUUUUUUGUUCUUUCUGAAACUGACCAUUUGCGUUUUAUAUAUUUUAUGGAUGCUAGAAGUUAUUUUUUAAAGAUUUAUGUAUUUAUUUGAUACUCAGAGUUAUACACAGAGAGAAGGCAAGACAGAGGUCUUCCAUCCACUAGUUCACUCCCCAGAUGGCUGCAUGGCUGGAGCUGUGCUGAUCCGAAGCCAGGAGCCAGGAGCUUCUUCUGGGUUUCCCACGCAGGUGCAGGGGUCCAAGGACUUGGGCCAUCUUCCGCUGCUUUCCCAGGCCAUAGCAGAGAGCUGGAUCGGAAGUGGAGCAGCAGGGACUGGAACCAUAUGGGAUGCCGGCACUGCAGGUGCGGCUUUACCUGCUAUGCCCCAGCGCCGGUCCCUAGAAGUUAUUUAAAUCUUCUGUUUAGUAAGGUCAUGUAGCAGGGAAGGAAAGAGUAUUGCCAGGUGCAGGUGGAAGUUCAGUCUACUCAGCUUAUGUUGACACUCACGAUGACCUCCUCAUUAGCGAAGAGCUAGUGAGAGUUCUGGCUUCCCCUGAGACUUUAUUCCUAGGAGAAGGGAAGUUACCUCAUUAAUGCUUUGUGACUGACCUAUUAGUACCAUGGGAGUGAGGUAGCCUCCUAAACACUGGGUAGUACCCAAAUCCUUAAUGUCCUACUGGACCUUUUCUGCAACAAGGAAAGUGUAGGCUCACUGCUUAGUGGGAGUAGAAGUCCAGAUUUCACAUUGUGAUAACUAUCCUCAGAGAAGAAACUGUCUCAGUGCUGGCACUCCAACAUGAGAUGCCAGAGAAGAAAGCUGUGGCUUAACCCCAGCACUACAAUGCCAACGUCAGACUAGGUUUUCUUGUUAUGGAUUGGUGAGUGUGGAAAUCUAGAUUCCAUACUCAUCUAUUGCUGGCAUAUGUGAGGAAUAGGACCACAUAUUUUCAUGUGAUCCUACAAGGCUGCCUCUUUUCUUGUUCCUUAAUUAGAGAAACAGAUUUUAUUGGAAUUUGUUUUGCUUGCACCUCUUAACAUUUCUGGUUUGCUUCCUUCAAUUUUGCAUUAGUGAUACGUGGUGCAAAAAAAAAAAAAAAAAAAUUAAGAAUCCAGCUACCAUCUUGUCAUUAUUUGGAUUCCAAGGUUUCUAAUGUAUCUCCACCUUUUAGAGUUUUCUCAGAUUUAUACAUCCACUUGUAUAAAAUAAAAAUGCUACACAAAAGUUAUAUUAGCAACAAAAAUAUAAAGUAAUAAAAAAAUGACCUUACCAAAAACAUAUGUACUUCCAUAGAGAUCAAAUUAAAUAUUAUGUACAGAAGUGAACAAAAAACUAAAUAAAAAUAGGUAUAGAUGAUUUCUGAUGAAAAAAUUAAAGACAUAUUUAUUUGAAAGUCACUGUUACAGAGAGAGUGGGAGAGACAAAGAGAGAGAGAAACUGAAAUCUUCCCCCAAAUGGCUACAUGUUGAAGGCAGGGGCCCAAGCACAGGCCAUUCAUUAGCAGGGAGAUGGAUUGAAGAGGAGCAGUUGAGGUAUGAACCAGCACCCAUAAGGGCUGCCACCCUCACAGGUGGCAGCUUUAUCCACUAUGCCACAAAGCUGGACCCAGUUCUCGCACAUUAAGGUGUGUCAAUAUGAACCAGAAGUCUUACUAAAACAGAAUACUGAGCCCCAAAUUUGGAGUUUCUGAUUAACUACAUUUAGGGGAAAAACUCAAAAAUUUAUACUGGUAGCAUUAGUCCUGAGAUAAUGCUUUCACUAGUGAUCCAAAGAUCACACUUUUAGGACUAUUAUUCUAUAGAUAAUGUUGACCUCAUCUCUUUAAAAUACAUAUGCAUUUACACAUCUCAGUGUUAUUUAUAAAAGCUGGAAUUGACCAAGUAAAACAUAUAUAUAAGUUGUACUGUAGUCUUACAUUACACUGUAGUGUUCUAUGCUGUAAUAAGAAUAAUCAUGUCUAUAUGUAACAACAUAGGUAGAUAUUAAAACAUUCCCCCAAAUCUGAAUUAUAGCAAUUAUAGUAAUACAGAUGGUAGGGCUAAUUAUUCUCCAGAAACACACAAAGACAGUUACCAUUCAAAUGUCACAGUAUUGGUUAAUUCUGGAGAAAGGAAGGGACCUGUGUUGAGGAUGGACUCACAGGAUGGAGGUUUCUAGCAUAUUAAAGAUGCUCCUUUUCUUGACCUGUCUUAUAGUACAUAGAUGUUCACAUUAUGGUUAACCUUUAUAAUUGCAUAUGUGCAAUUUAAUUUAAAUGAAAAAUGUGUGAUUUUGUAUAUUGCUGAC